Centrocercus urophasianus (Greater sage-grouse) is the source of this 686-nucleotide long non-coding RNA. RefSeq lists it as uncharacterized. The transcript is spliced from 4 exons. Lineage: Eukaryota; Metazoa; Chordata; Aves; Galliformes; Phasianidae. The record is from RefSeq and is a predicted model, not a curated record.
UGAAAGUUGAGAGGAUCAAGGCUUUUCCUGCACAGCUAGUACAAAGAUUAAGCUAGGGACAUGAAGAUUUGAGCAAGACUGUCAUGUACAUUGGAUCAGGCAACAGCAGGAGUGUAAGAAAGCUGUAGAGAGCCCACACUGGAGCAAGAUUGUGGCAGGAGCAGAGGAAAAUUGUGGGGAGAAAGGAGCAGCAGAAAUGAAGUGUUAUGAAGUGACCACAGCCCCCAUUCCUUAUCUACCUUACGUCAAUCAUGGCCAGGGAGAAGGAAGAGAAGGUGAGAAUGAAGGAAUGAAGCUGAGCUUUGUAACAAGUCUCAGCUGGAGAAAUCCCUGAGGAAAGGGGAUUAGGAGAAGGAACCACUAGCUCGGGCAAGCAUGGAGCUUUUGCACAAGGAGGGAGAUCCAUAAUUCAGGCAGACCCAGAUGUAAGUGGACUGGGCUUCAGCUACAGUCUUUCAGUGACCGGAUUAACCAUCACCAGUGUGACUCCGAAGGCUGUCUCAAAUGUAUGCAGGGCGUUAACUCUUGCUUGACUGCAAACAUGCACCUUGCAAAGUUUGAACACAAAAUAUGCUAUGGGAGUGCGUAUAUACUGAAACUUAUUCUUUGAGAGUGGAUGCUGCCUUUAUCUUCUAUACCAGCUGAUGGAACAAGUUUGUUCAUGUGGCCCUUUCAGGGUAAGGAAU